GAAGAACUGGACCCCAAGGUCUCCAAGCUUCACCUCCUUUCACAACUUGAUAAUUAUCGAAUACAAAAGAUAUUUAAUCAGGCUCUGAAGGAGAUUCGUACCCCGUCAGUGGACUCUGAGUCUCUAGAGGAGAAGAAAAAGGAUGCUGACUGAGAUCCAGUCUGUCUUAUGUCAAGGAGAUUACAUACAUUUCUGGGAAGCCAGAGGAGCUGAUCAAGGCCAAGCUGAAGGAGAUCUGGGAGAAGAAGAGAGCUCUGGCUGCCCAGAGCAGAUGUGCCCUCUACCUCUAUCCAUAUCUCCUCCACCUGCCAGCUCUCAUCCACCGCCUUCACCCCUAGUCCCAACACCCUGACAGGGAAUAACAACCCGUUUCCUAUAUGUCUGACAACAGCAGAAAGGGCACUAAGAUGGAUCAAUGAAUUAGCCAACAUUCAGUUGUCUCGGGCUAGCUCUCUGGGUCAGGCAGGGGCAGCUAGGGGCUCUGUGAAACCAGUGGCUGCUGUUCUACGCACCGAAAGCGGCAAGAUCAUACUUCCUGCUUCCACACCAGCAGGCGGAGCGGUCUGCACAGUGAUGGUUAUGAAGAGACCAUCAACAGCCACCUCCACCACCAACACCACCUCAGCAGCCAAGGAGGCUGUGGAGAAGGAGAGCGCUGAGGAAAAGGAGUGUACACACUGGAUUAUCUGCACCUCUCGCUGACCCCUAGCCCACGGUGCUCUGUCUGCCACUGACCCUGAGAAGAAGGACCAGGGUAGAGUGUCUGGGGAGGCUGAGCAGUCCUCAGACAGCCCAGCAGAGGAGAGGCCAGCGGUAGGACCUGAGCCCUAGGACCAUGCCUCAGGACUACCUGGCAUAAGGACUCCUUGCUGUCCCCAGUCCACCUGGCCGUGCUGCUGCUCCAGUUUCAACUGUUCUGCCUGUGGCUAUGGAAUCCUGACCUGUUCACCGGACGUGCUACCGGUCCCAGACAUACUGUUUUCAACUCUCUAGAGACAGCAUGAUUGGCUAUGACAACUUCAGGUACCUUUUCUGACAGUUGAUGCUGCUGCUGAGAACGCAAUCCUGUACGCAUUCCUUUACCUCUCAUUGGAAUUCAGAUUUGCGGUGCACCAUCCCACCACAUGUCACUUAGAGUAGGCCAGAAGGCUAUACUGGAAAACCUAA
This is a long non-coding RNA of Oncorhynchus tshawytscha (Chinook salmon), 1167 nucleotides long. The record is from Ensembl. NCBI's taxonomy places the organism in Eukaryota, Metazoa, Chordata, Actinopteri, Salmoniformes, Salmonidae.